Molecule: ribosomal RNA, 442 nt
Filed under: uncultured bacterium
Lineage: Bacteria
Description: partial 16S ribosomal RNA
Rfam family: Bacterial small subunit ribosomal RNA
Source: RNAcentral
CCUACGGGUGGCAGCAGUUGGGAAUCUUGCACAAUGGGGGAAACCCUGAUGCAGCGACGCCGCGUGGAGGAAGAAGGGUCUAGGCUCGUAAACUCCUUUUUCAGGGAAAGACUUAGGACGGUACCCUGAGAAUAAGCUCCGGCUAACUACGUGCCAGCAGCCGCGGUACGUCGUAGGGAGCGAGCGUUGUCCGGAUUUACUGGGCGUAAAGAGCACGUAGGCUGUCUGUUAAGUGAGAAGUGAAAUCUCCAGCGCUCAAGGCGGAACCGGCUUAUCAUACUGGCAGGCUUGAGGGAUGCAGAGGCAAGUAGAAUUCCUGGUGUACCGGGGACAUGGGUUGAUAUCAGGAGGAAUACCAAUGGCGAAGGCAGCUUGCUGGGCAUCAUCUGACGCUGAGGUGCGAAAGCGUGGGUAGCAAACAGGAUUAGAUACCCGAGUAGUC